Molecule: RNA transcript, 1879 nt
Organism: Quercus robur (English oak)
Lineage: Eukaryota; Viridiplantae; Streptophyta; Magnoliopsida; Fagales; Fagaceae
Gene name: protein OSB1, mitochondrial-like
Exons: 5
Source: RefSeq, a predicted model, not a curated record
CUAGCUAGAGAAAAGUUAACAUUGCCGCCGUGAAUCUUUUGAACCCUAAGAAACAAACCAGUUGUCAGAGUGUACUAAAAAAAAAAAAAAAAUCCAGUUUUCAGAGAACCCCCGCAAAAUUGGCUUUCAAUAAUGAAUACGCAACGUUUCGGAGCCCUAAUCCGAAACGCGAAGCGGUUCUAUUCGUCCUCACCCGCGAUCACUAGACCAGAGAAAUUCUUCUCCGCCGACGAUGGCGAAGCCGGGAGCUCGGUUUUCCGGCACGCCCUGAAAUUCCAGCGGCCGGCGACGAUCAUGUGGAAGUGGAAUAAGCAGUUGCUGAACUCCGGUAGCUUUAUUGGGACCGUCGAGCUUCCUUUGAAGAUUAUGGACACAAGGAAAACCGGUCGCUUUGGCGUUCACACUAAGCUCUCCGUCAAUUCCUCCCCCGACGAUUCCAAUCGCACGGUUAGGAUACUACUGUUGAUGUGGGACGAGAUGGCAGAAAUGUCUCUACAACAUUUGAAACCAAAUGAUUUUAUCUAUGUUUCAGGUCCUUUAGGGUGUUAUACAAAGGCUUAUGAGGAUGGAGACCUCAGAACACAUUACAAGGUCACAGUCGAAGAAUUGAAUUAUGUUGCCCGAGAUGGCCAAGGCCCAACCAGCCAGAAAGUCGAGGAGUCGCAAUUAGGAGCAGGUAGAGCUGACUUGGCGGGGUAUGAAAACCGCAAUUACUUGUGGCAAGUGUUUUUCACCAAUCCAUAUGAAUGGCGGGAUUUAAGGAAACGUAAGGUAAAUCCAAGACAGCCAGAUUUCACACACAAGGAUACUGGUGAAGCUCUCUGGUUGAGUCCAAAUGAUCCUCCAUGGAUUAAAAGGCAACUCCAGUUGCUUGAUACAAAAAUGGCAGAACAAGGCCAAGGUGAUUUCGGUUUGCGUUCCCGUGUCUCCAUGUGGGUUUAUGAUGAGUAGAGGCCAGUCUGGAGGCCUUGAAAGAACCAUCUGCUUUUGCGUAUUGGUCAUGUACAGGGUUUUACGAUCUUAGUCAUUGCAUCUAACUGGAAGGUCAAAGAAUGACAGAAGCAAUAUCAAAACUAGACAGGAAUUUGAGGUUUUUACGUCUCCAAGCAUAUUUCUCAAUCUCACUUAUGAAAAAAGAAAAGAAAAAAAAAACAUAUAUAUAUAUAUAUCUCUCUCUCAAUCUCAGAGUUGCAGUGUGUUGAGCACUGAAUAUUCUGCAUUCAGUUCUCUCUACAGCAAGUUGCAGGGUGAUCACUGUGAAGAUGACAUAUGACAUAUGUAUAGGUUUCAUGCAAUAAUUAAUUGGGGCACUCCUAAAGGAUGGGAUCAUUGCCAUGUUGAUGCCCUGUUGAGACAAUGAGUCGAGCAACAAAAGAUGAAGAGUGCCUUUUUCAGUACAUGGUAGAGGCUUCUAGUUCUAGUAGAGGGCUUUUGAAAAUUUGUAGGUUCUUAGAAUGGGAAGAAGAUGAUGAAGAUGGUGAUGAUGGCCAUGGCUACAUUAAACUUCAAGGUUUAUAAAUUGGACGGGAAGAGAAAAAAAAGGUAGGUUGGGGUGCAACUCUUGGGCAACAAGGUUUUGUUUGUAUAAUAUAAUUGUGCACUGUCUCUCAGCCCUGAAAUGUCCUGGGAUCAAAGCAAAUAGCAUUACUUCAUGGAUGAUUGUUUUGAAGGCUAUUAUGAUUUUAUGAAUGUCCGUAUGAGAAUUUCAACAAUGGUAUGUUCAGUUUGGAGGACGAGAGCCUAAAAAAAGAUUUCUACACCUUGCAUUUGGAUUAGUCCUAAAACUGAAGGGAUAUUGCAUUUCAUCUCUGUCAAACUUGUUAGGUGCUGUAUUGAAAUUUGAAAGAAUGUCAAAAUGAGUCUAUUAAGUUUUCUAUUA